UGAACGCUAGCGGCAGGCUUAACACAUGCAAGUCGAGGGGUAACAGGGUUUAGUUUACUAGAUUGCUGACGACCGGCGCACGGGUGAGUAACGCGUAUACAAUUUACCUUUUACAGGGGAAUAGCCCAGAGAAAUUUGGAUUAAUGCCCCAUAGUAUUAUAGAGUCACCUGGCUUUAUGAUUAAAGUUUCGGCGGUAAAAGAUGAGUAUGCGUCCUAUUAGCUAGAUGGUAAGGUAACGGCUUACCAUGGCGACGAUAGGUAGGGGUCCUAAGAGGGAGAUCCCCCACACUGGUACUGAGACACGGACCAGACUCCUACGGGAAGCAGCAGUGAGGAAUAGUGGGCAAUGGAGGCAACUCUGACCCAGCCAUGCCGCGUGCAGGAAGUCUGCCCUAUGGGUUGUAAACUGCUUUUAUACAGGAAGAAACUUACCCACGUGUGGGUAACUGACGGUACUGUAAGAAUAAGCACCGGCUAACUCC
Molecule: ribosomal RNA, 483 nt
Filed under: uncultured bacterium
Lineage: Bacteria
Description: bacterial SSU rRNA
Rfam family: Bacterial small subunit ribosomal RNA
Source: RNAcentral